UGACUCUGUUUGGUCUUUAGACUGUGU
Molecule: non-coding RNA, 27 nt
Filed under: Mus musculus (house mouse)
Lineage: Eukaryota; Metazoa; Chordata; Mammalia; Rodentia; Muridae
Source: RNAcentral